Molecule: transfer RNA, 76 nt
Filed under: Perca fluviatilis (European perch)
Lineage: Eukaryota; Metazoa; Chordata; Actinopteri; Perciformes; Percidae
Description: tRNA-Arg
Rfam family: tRNA
About the family: Transfer RNA (tRNA) molecules are approximately 80 nucleotides in length. Their secondary structure includes four short double-helical elements and three loops (D, anti-codon, and T loops).
Source: RNAcentral
AGCCCCAUGGAGCCUAAUGGAUAAGGCACUGGCCUCCUAAGCCAGGGAUUGUGGGUUCAAGUCCCAUCUGGGGUGA